CAGAGAACCGAACGUUAGUCGUCCUAAUCAGGCGUAAAGGGUGUGUAGGCUGCUUUCAAAAUCAUAUCUUUCAUCCUAGCUAUUAUAACGAAGAUCUGUUUAAAGGCAAUAUACUUGUAAAUAUCUUCAUUCUAAGGUAAAGAUAGGAUGAAUAAAAGCUAGAAUCAAAACGAGGAUAAGCCAAAUAAUACUUAGAGUAGGGAUGAUAUCCGUAGAUACUAAGUGGAAUACUAAUAGUGCAAACUAUUUAUCUAGAAAUGAUUGACGCUGAGAAACGAAGGUGAGAAUAGGAAAUAGGAUUAGAUACCCAGAUACCUCUCACUGUCAACGAUGAAUGGUGGUUGUUAGUUUAUAGAAGAACUAGUAACGAGCCUAACGCGAAAAAA
RNAcentral lists this ribosomal RNA (386 nucleotides) under Termitomyces sp. RNAcentral describes it as "SSU rRNA". It matches the Rfam family "Bacterial small subunit ribosomal RNA", at positions 527 to 865 of the family's 1533-position model. The record is from RNAcentral. Lineage: Eukaryota; Fungi; Basidiomycota; Agaricomycetes; Agaricales; Lyophyllaceae.